GACGAACGCUGGCGGCGUGCUUAACACAUGCAAGUCGAACGGUGAAGCGAGUGCUUGCACUCGUGGAUCAGUGGCGAACGGGUGAGUAACACGUGAGUAACCUGCCCAUCACUCUGGGAUAAGCACUGGAAACGGUGUCUAAUACUGGAUACGACCAACCCUUGCAUGGGGUGUUGGUGGAAAGAUGUAUCGGUGAUGGAUGGACUCGCGGCCUAUCAGCUUGUUGGCGGGGUAGUGGCACACCAAGGCGACGACGGGUAGCCGGCCUUGGAGGGUGACCGCGCACACUGGGACUGCGGCACGGACCAGACUCGUACGUGAGGCAGCAGUGGGGAAUCUUGCCCAGUGGGAGCGAGCCUGAUGCAGAGGCGCCGCGUGAGGGAUGCCGGCCUUCGGGUUGAAAACCUCUUUCGGCAGGGAAGAAGCGAUAGUGACGGUACCUGAAGAAGAAGCACCGGCUAACUACGUG
RNAcentral lists this ribosomal RNA (469 nucleotides) under uncultured bacterium. Its description in RNAcentral is "partial 16S ribosomal RNA". It matches the Rfam family "Bacterial small subunit ribosomal RNA", at positions 28 to 507 of the family's 1533-position model. The record is from RNAcentral.